UGCGCCUUUCGUCUAAUGGAUAAGACAUCAUAUUUCUAGUGUGAUUAAUGUGAGUUUGAAUCCUGCUGGAUGCAA
This 75-nucleotide transfer RNA is filed under the name Acinetobacter bohemicus. Its description in RNAcentral is "tRNA-Arg". It matches the Rfam family "tRNA". Rfam says of the family: Transfer RNA (tRNA) molecules are approximately 80 nucleotides in length. The record is from RNAcentral. Lineage: Bacteria; Pseudomonadati; Pseudomonadota; Gammaproteobacteria; Moraxellales; Moraxellaceae.